This 691-nucleotide long non-coding RNA is filed under the name Populus trichocarpa (black cottonwood). Its description in RNAcentral is "long non-coding RNA (PTRI_LNC001816)". Lineage: Eukaryota; Viridiplantae; Streptophyta; Magnoliopsida; Malpighiales; Salicaceae. The record is from RNAcentral.
UGCUUCUAUCAAAAGUUGAAUUAAUGGAAAAGUCGUACAGAAAAAGGGAUAAUAAAGAGGUAAAAAGAAUUUCCACUCCUGACAGCAUUAAUCCUAGCAACAGCACUAAGAGCAUCUCCAAUGCAAAAUGCUAUUUUGAAAAGCUAAAUUGAUAAAAUAGCAUUUUAAAUAGUGUAAAUAUAGCUUUUUUUACCAUAUCUAUUCCAAUGAAAAAAAGCCAUUUGAAGAACCAUUUAUAUUGGAGUGGAAGAAACAAGUGUCUUAUUAUUUCUUAAUAAAUUUGAUGUUACUUUUUUUUCCACAUGUCUACAUUUAAUUGGUUUAUUUUUUUAGUGGCCCCACUUUGUUGGUUUUGGCUCUUUAAAGAGAUGUAGGAAUAGCAUUUGUGGAAGAGAAAAGCCAUUUUAGCAUUUUGUUUGGCUUUCUCCUUGGAGUGUGCAAAACAAACAAAGAGAAGCUAAAAAAAAAUUCAAAAAAUUGAUCCAUGCUUCUAUCAAAAGUUGAAUUAAUGGAAAAGUCAUACAGAAAAAAGGAUAAUAAAGAGGUAAAAAGAAUUUCCACUCCUGACAGCAUUAAUCCUAGCAACAGCACUAAUAAAAAAAUACAUAAGUUACAUAGAACUUGAAGAAAAACCUUUUUCUUUCCUGUUAUAUAUUAAACUAUAUUUGUUUCUUUCUUGUCACAAAAAAAC